This 4746-nucleotide long non-coding RNA is filed under the name Gossypium raimondii (Peruvian cotton). Its description in RNAcentral is "long non-coding RNA (GRAI_LNC009911)". Lineage: Eukaryota; Viridiplantae; Streptophyta; Magnoliopsida; Malvales; Malvaceae. The record is from RNAcentral.
GAAAAUGAUGGAUGUAAUAGCUGAUUUAUUUUCAGCUUUUGACUUGUAUUAUUUUAGUUGGCAACUUGCCAAAUUUGGUGGGAGUAGUUACGUUUAGGUAACUGACUUGCUUUUGUAUCUCCUUUAUAUUUUGAAAUGGAAAUGGAAUGAAAGCUGAUGGGGGACUUUUCUCAUUCGGUUACUUGCUGCUUCUCUUUGGAUUUUCAUUUUGUUCUUUUGUUUUGUUUUGUUUCCUGUUUUUCAUGAGCUUAUGCUCUUUGUUGUUCAUUGUUGCUGCUGCCUUUUUUCUAACAAAUGGUAAUCAGAGCCUCUUGUCUAUGAGGACCUCUGUUGUUUAAGUUUUUUUUGUUUCAAAAUAAACUCAAAAAUCGUGUUUGUCAAACCAGUUUCAGCAACAUGAGCUUUGCACCUCCUCCACCACCAAUUUUUGCUGGAGAAAACUACCACAUUUGGGUAGUUAAAAUGAAAACUUACCUCCAAGCACUUGAUCUGUGGAGUGCAGUUGAAAAUGAUGUCGAGCCACCACCACUAAGAGCAAAUCCAACCAUUGCUCAGAUCAGGCAACAUGGUGAGGAGUGAGCCAAGAAGCAUAAAGCCAUGGCCUGCCUACAGAAUGGAGUGUCUGAUGUGAUUUUUACUCGCAUCAUGGCCUGUGACUNNNNNNNNNNNNNNNNNNNNNNNNNNNNNNNNNNNNNNNNNNNNNNNNNNNNNNNNNNNNNNNNNNNNNNNNNNNNNNNNNNNNNNNNNNNNNNNNNNNNNNNNNNNNNNNNNNNNNNNNNNNNNNNNNNNNNNNNNNNNNNAGGAUUAUGGCUACUGCCAAUAAUAUUAGACUCCUUGGAGAAGAUUUCAGUGACAGCAGGGUUGUUGAGAAGGUUAUUACCACCUUACUUGAAAGGUUUGAGUCAAAAAUCUCCUCAUUGGAGGACUCGAGAGAUCUCACAACCAUUUCUUUGUCUGAGUUGGUUAACUCACUCUAUGCACUUGAGCAGAGAAGAGCAAGUAGGCAGGAGGAGAGUCCUGAAGGUGCUUUUCAAGCAAAGGUUAGAGAAGACUCCAGCUCAAGCCAGAAAGCUAAGAAGCCUUGGUUUGAAAAGAGGGAAAGAUCAAAGAAAGAUGCCGGUAGAAGGAGGUUUCCACCAUGCGUUCACUGCAAGAAGACUAAUCAUUUGGAGAAGUAUUGCUGGACCAGACCAGACAUACAGUGCAAAAGCUGUAAGAAGUAUGGCCAUCAUGAGAAAAUCUGUAGAAGUUAUGAGAAGGCACAAGCACAGCCAGUACAAGCCAAGUCUGCCGAGGAUGUCCAAGCUCAGGAGGAGCAUGUAUUUACAGCUUCAUGUUUUGCAGCUAACAGCAAGAGCAGUUGGCUUGUGGAUAGUGGCUGCUCACACCACAUGGCUGCAGAUGAGAGCCUUUUCAAGAAUAUUGACAGGAGCUUUGUCUCGAAGGUCAGGAUAGGCAAUGGCAACUUGAUUGAAGCAAAAGGUAGAGGUGAUGUGGUGAUUCACACUGGUUCAGGUAACAAAAUCAUUUCUGAUGUGCUCUAUGUGCCAGAAAUAGACCAAAAUUUACUCAGUGUAGGCCAACUAGUCAAGAAAGGCUUUUCACUAGUUUUCAAGAAUGAUUCUUGUGUUAUAAGUGAUGCUCAUGGUAGGGAGAUUGUCUCAGCACCUAUGAGAGACAAAUGUUUUAUGCUGGAUGUGAGUCAGCUUGAGAAAAGUGCCUAUACAAGCUCAGUUGACAAUACUGAUCUUUGGCACAAGAGGUUUGGCCAUGUUAACCUCAAAUCACUUGAUUUGCUGCACAAAAUGAACAUGACAGAGGACAUGGUGAAGGUUAGUGCAAGUGAAGGUGUUUGUGAAGUGUGUCAGCUUGGCAAGCAGGCCAGGUUGCCUUUUCCAGUAAACCAAGCAUGGAGGGCUCGAGAAAGACUUGAGUUGGUGCACUCAGAUGUCUGUGGACCAAUGAAGAUGCCUUCACUGAAUGGCAGUAAGUAUUUUAUACUGUUUAUUGAUGAUCUGACCAGAUUUUGCUGGGUUUAUUUCAUGAAACAGAAGUCAGAAGUGUUUGAAGUUUUUGGAAAGUUCAAGGCAUUAGCAGAAAAUCAAACAGGCUGCAGGAUUAAGGCCUUGAGGACAGACAAUGGUUCUGAAUACUUGUCUGAAAGAUUUCAGAAGCUAUAUGAGCAGGCUGGGAUUCAUCAUCAAUUGACCACAGUGUAUACUCCUCAGCAAAAUAGAGUAUCUGAGAGGAAGAACAGGACAGUGAUGAACAUGACCAGAUGUUUGUUGUUUCAAAGCAAGCUUCCAAGUAUUUUUUGGGCUGAAGGUGUCAACACCUCAGUGUACCUGCUCAAUAGGCUGCCAACACAUGCUGUGAAUGAUAAAACUCCUUUUGAAGCAUGGUAUGAUCUUAAACCAACUGUUUCCCAUUUAAAAGUAUUUGGUUGCAUGUGUUUUGUACUUGUCCCUGCAGAAAGAAGAACCAAGCUCGAGAAGAGGUCAGUUCCUGGUAUAUUUGUUGGCUACAGUAGCUGCAAGAAGGGCUACAGAGUAUUUGAUCCCUCAACCAAGAAGAUUUUGGUAAGCAGGUAUGUCAAAUUCGAUGAAGGAAGGUUUUGGAGUCUAGAUGGCUCUAACACAAGUCAGUUUGAAGAAGAGCAGAUUGACAGCAAUCUGGAAUUGGCAGAAAAUGAGUCAGUAAUGCCAAUGUAGAUGAUGCUCCUGUGAGAAGGACGAGGUCUAUUGCUGAUAUCUACCAAAGAUGCAAUGUGGCCAUUGUUGAGCCUUCAAGCUAUGAAGAAGCUGCAAGAAGCAAGAGCUGGAAGAAGGCUAUGGAGGCUGAAAUCGACAUGAUCCAUAAGAAUGACACUUGGGAUCUGGUAGACAGACCUGAUCAAAAGAAGGUCAUAGGUGUCAAGUGGGUUUUCAGGGCCAAGUUCAAUGCAGAUUGCUCUCUGAACAAGCACAAGGCAAGGCUUGUGGUGAAAGGGUACAAUCAACAGUUUGGCAUUGAUUUUGAGGAGACAUUUGCUCCAGUGGCAAGGCUGGAUACCAUAAAGCUUCUAUUUGCCUUCGCUGCACAGAAACAGUGGAAGGUCCAUCAGCUUGAUGUCAAGUCAGCUUUCCUGAAUGGCUUCCUUAAAGAGGAAAUUUAUGUUGAACAGCCUGAUGGAUUUAAAGUCCAAGGAAAGGAGGACAAGGUUUACAAGCUGAAGAAAGCACUCUAUGGACUAAAACAGGCUCCUCGAGCCUGGUAUGACAGGAUAGAUGCUUACCUGUCUAGGCUUAAUUUCGAGAAAAGUUUGAGUGAGCCAACUUUAUUUAUAAAGAAGUCUAAAGAUGAGACUUUGUUGAUUGUCUCAAUGUAUGUGGAUGAUCUAUUAGUGACUGGAAGCAGGGUCGAUUUGAUUCAGGAGUUCAAGAAGAAUAUGCAAGACAUGUUUGACAUGACAAACUUGGGAAUCAUGACUUACUUCCUUGGUAUGGAAGUAGACCAGUCUGAUCAAGGCAUUUUUAUCAGCCAGCAUGCAUUUGCCUUGAAAAUUCUCACUAAGUUUCAUAUGGAAAACAGCAAACCAGUGAGCACACCAUUAGCUGUGGGAGAGAAACUAAGUAGCUUUGGAAAUGAAGAAAAGGUAGAUGAAAAGGAGUAUAGAAGCUUGAUUGGCUAUUUACUUUACUUGACAGUAACCAGACCUGACCUUAUGCAUUCAGUUAGUCUACUGUCCAGAUUCAUGCACAGCUGCAAUACAACUCAUUUGAAAGCAGCAAAGAGAAUACUCAGGUAUGUCAAAGGUACUUUGAAGUUUGGUGUAAUGUUCAAGAAAGGAAAUGAGCUGAAAUUAACUGGCUACUCAGAUAGUGACUGGGGUGGAUCAGUUGAUGAUAUGAGAAGUACUUCAGGCUACUUCUUUACACUUGGUUCGGGAGUUUUCAGUUGGAGUUCAAAGAAGCAACAAACUGUUGCUCAGUCUACUGCUGAAGCCGAAUACAUAGCAGCAGCUGCAGCAGUGAAUCAAGCCAUUUGGCUUAGGAAGUUGCUAUGUGAUUUGAAUGAAGAACAGCUUGAGCCUACUGAAAUUAUGGUGGAUAACUAGUCAGCAAUUGCCAUCUCCAAAAAUCCUGUUUUUCAUGGCAAAACCAAACAUUUUAAGCUCAAGUUUUACUUUGUUCGAGAAGUUGUUCAAUCCAAAGAAGUGUGUCUAACACAUUGCAGCUCACAAGAUCAAUUGGCUGACAUUUUGACAAAGCCUCUUGGCACAAUCAGGUUUGAAUUUCUAAGGGAUUCAAUCGGUGUUUGUUGCCUACAGUCCAAGGAGGAGUGUUGAGCAUUGGCCUGCAAUGCAACAAACUUCCAACAGCAGCAUGUCUGUUUGAAGAUUGAAUCAGAAGCAACUUUUUGUUUAAAUUUUGUAUUUUUUUUUUGUGAUGUUAACAAGUUGGCAAGUUGCUUGAUAUUUAAAGCUAGUACUUUUAGAUUUGAAAAUGAUGGAUGUAAUAGCUGAUUUAUUUUCAGCUUUUGACUUGUAUUAUUUUAGUUGGCAACUUGCCAAAUUUGGUGGGAGUAGUUACGUUUAGGUAACUGACUUGCUUUUGUAUCUCCUUUAUAUUUUGAAAUGGAAAUGGAAUGAAAGCUGAUGGGGGACUUUUCUCAUUCGGUUACUUGCUGCUUCUCUUUGGAUUUUCAUUUUGUUCUUUUGUUUUGUUUUGCUUCCUGUUUUUCAUGAGCUUAUGCUCUUUGUUGUUC